This 484-nucleotide ribosomal RNA is filed under the name uncultured bacterium. RNAcentral's name for it is "partial 16S ribosomal RNA". It matches the Rfam family "Bacterial small subunit ribosomal RNA", at positions 30 to 507 of the family's 1533-position model. The record is from RNAcentral.
AUUGAACGCUGGCGGCAGGCCUAACACAUGCAAGUCGAGCGGAUGAAGGGAGCUUGCUCCUGGAUUCAGCGGCGGACGGGUGAGUAAUGCCUAGGAAUCUGCCUGGUAGUGGGGGAUAACGUCCGGAAACGGGCGCUAAUACCGCAUACGUCCUGAGGGAGAAAGUGGGGGAUCUUCGGACCUCACGCUAUCAGAUGAGCCUAGGUCGGAUUAGCUAGUUGGUGGGGUAAAGGCCUACCAAGGCGACGAUCCGUAACUGGUCUCAGAGGAUGAUCAGUCACGCUGGAACUGAGACACGGUCCAGACUCCUACGGGAGGCAGCAGUGGGGAAUAUUGGACAAUGGGCGAAAGCCUGAUCCAGCCAUGCCGCGUGUGUGAAGAAGGUCUUCGGAUUGUAAAGCACUUUAAGUUGGGAGGAAGGGCAGUAAGUUAAUACCUUGCUGUUUUGACGUUACCAACAGAAUAAGCACCGGCUAACUUCGUG